This is a long non-coding RNA of Solanum lycopersicum (tomato), 859 nucleotides long. RefSeq lists it as uncharacterized. NCBI's taxonomy places the organism in Eukaryota, Viridiplantae, Streptophyta, Magnoliopsida, Solanales, Solanaceae. The record is from RefSeq and is a predicted model, not a curated record.
AUCAUCUUAUUUAAUAAAUGUUUUCUUACGAGGCUAUUUAUUGGGGAAGAUGUAGAUAAUCUACUAUUUGUUGGUUUCAGGUUGGUGAAACUAAGUUGAUAGGACGAAAUGUUGUUCACCAACCCAUGAAGAAGGUGAAUAUUAUUAAUGAAAUGUAAAAGACAUCAGAAAGUUGUCGAGAAUCCUAUAUAUAUGUUAUUAAAAUGAAUUUUGAAUUGGCGGUGGAUAAUUGGGUUAACUUGAAGGUUUCACCCGUGAAGGGUAUUAUGGGAUUUAUCAAGAAGGGAAAGCAAAGUGUUCGGUGUAUCGGUCUUUACAAGAUAUCAUAGAGAGUUUUAAAUGUAGCUUGUGAGUUUGAGCUACCGUCCGAGUUAGCAGCGGUACAUCCAGUGUUCAACAUUUCAAUGUUAAAGAAGUGUAUGGGCGAUCCUUCACUGAUUAUACCUGCUAAGAAUAUCCGUAUUAAGUACAACCUUUCUUGUGAGGAGGUACCCGUUCUAAUUCUUGAUUGUCAUUUUCAUAAAUUGAGGAACAAAGAUGGUGCAUUAAUCAAAGUUUUAUGGAGAAAUCAAUUUGUUGAGGAAUGUAUUUGGUGGGUGAUGAAGAUAUGAAUAGGAGAUACCCACAUCUCUUUGCAUCAUGAGACAUUCAAAACUGAGAAAUGGGAUAGUUUGAUAUUUUCCACACAUUUUCUACUUAGUAUGAUCUCAUUCAAGGACAAAUUUUCUCAAGGGGAGAUGUUGUAAUAUCUUAGACUUCGGUAUGUUUUUAGUUUUGGGUCAACUUGAAAUGAACAUAACGUUCAACAUACGAAAAUUUGGGUGGCACAUUAGGUAUCAAAUAAAAUGUCUUUGAGUCA